Molecule: non-coding RNA, 658 nt
Organism: Podarcis lilfordi (Lilford's wall lizard)
Lineage: Eukaryota; Metazoa; Chordata; Lepidosauria; Squamata; Lacertidae
Source: the annotation of a GenBank genome assembly
CUCUCUUAAUUUAUUUUUAAGCUCGGAGGAAAUUCGGCACAAAGGAAGCACGUUCGGCGUUGAGGGCAUCAACACAGGCAGGUGAUUCUUGCAGCUGAUUUGCAUCGCGCUGUCUUCCUUUCUGCACGGCUGCUUGAUUCCAAACACUUCGCUUUUCCUUUUUGGUGUGUGGGUGUUUUCUUUCAGGAGAGGGAAGGAGGGAGGGAGGGAGAGACAAACAGAGAGAGAGAGAGAGAGAGGAAAUUCAAGCCAAACGCGCCCCCCCCCAUCUAAUCCUGCAUCCGAGCAUUCCUUGUUCUUGCAGCGGCCAGAAAGAUGCCCCCAAACAAAAGCUCACAACCAUCUCCUGUGCCUUCCAGCAACUGGCAGUCAGAAGCAUUUACGUUCCUGCCUUGGAGACAAGAGCAGAGCCCUUGAGGUUUGCAGCCACAAAUUUGUCAAAUAGUUUAAAAGACAUCGAAACUGGUUGAGCGUCACUGCGAGUCCUGCAGCUCAACUAUGCGCCUUGCGAAGAUGGCUUUCCUUUUAUCCGAUCUGAAUUGCCCAACGUUCAGCUUGUGGAUUCAUAGAGUUGGAAGGGAGCCCCAAAGGCCAUCCAAUCUGACCCCCUCCCCCAGUAACACAGGAAUCUCAACCAAACUGUCUGGCCAGAGUGGGG